Long non-coding RNA from Melospiza melodia melodia, 196 nucleotides. RefSeq lists it as uncharacterized. NCBI's taxonomy places the organism in Eukaryota, Metazoa, Chordata, Aves, Passeriformes, Passerellidae. The record is from RefSeq and is a predicted model, not a curated record. The transcript has 3 exons.
CACAGAUGUCCUAAUUCUGUCCUAUUAUAGCCUGAAGAGUUGAGGGCUGCUUCAGUCUUCAGCUGUGAGAUUUUGGUUCUCAUUUCUUCUGAAGGUGCAUCAUCCUGACCUGGCACUCAGAGGGGAAGCCAAAUUAUAAUCUCUUGCAUGUGUGACCAAAAGAAAAACAAGGCAGGAAACAAAAAGAACAGUCCUC